AGGCACCAGGUCCUCCUCGUCACAAGUGCCAGGCAUAAAGCAGGCACUCAAUAAACAUCCAGGAAGGAGACGGCAGGGGAGGAGGCGACAUGAUGACUCCAGGACCCAGAGUGGAGGGAGAACACUUUCAGUCGAAGGAGCCUGGGACCCUUGACACAGAAGUGACAUGUGCAUUCGGAACCUCUCUGUGGAAAACACAGACCCUUCAUGACACGCAAACUCGAAGCCGAUGCAAUAACCACCUUCGGAGACCAGACCCCUCAAAGAGCACUCAGCCCACAAUGUGACGCAGAGAAACCAGAGACCCAGGCAGGGAGUGCACCCACGGGGACACUCCGAGGGUGGCCUCCUGCCUGCCCU
Molecule: long non-coding RNA, 360 nt
Filed under: Homo sapiens (human)
Lineage: Eukaryota; Metazoa; Chordata; Mammalia; Primates; Hominidae
Description: non-protein coding lnc-DNAAF5-1:17
Source: RNAcentral